RNAcentral lists this unclassified non-coding RNA (195 nucleotides) under fungal sp. Its description in RNAcentral is "partial internal transcribed spacer region". The stretch from base 1 to 46 matches the Rfam family "Eukaryotic small subunit ribosomal RNA", at positions 1786 to 1831 of the family's 1831-position model. Lineage: Eukaryota; Fungi. The record is from RNAcentral.
AAGUCGUAACAAGGUUUCCGUAGGUGAACCUGCGGAAGGAUCAUUAACUAUUUCGUUUUUUUUUUAUUAAAAAAAACCUUCCUGGGUAGUUAAAUUUUAAAAAAAAAAAAUGCAUAUAAAACUUGGGAACACUUUUUUUUCACUUUUUUUCAUAUAAAAAUAAAAUAACUAUUAACAAUGGAUCUCUUGGCUCUG